This is a long non-coding RNA of Chenopodium quinoa (quinoa), 2435 nucleotides long. RefSeq lists it as uncharacterized. The record is from RefSeq and is a predicted model, not a curated record. The transcript is spliced from 2 exons. NCBI's taxonomy places the organism in Eukaryota, Viridiplantae, Streptophyta, Magnoliopsida, Caryophyllales, Amaranthaceae.
UGAUUAUGCCAAUAAAAUUAUCCGUCUAACGUUUCUUUAAAAUAAAUAAAAAAAAAAACAGAAAUUGCGUUUACCUACCCUAAUACGUACUAUUUGCACCCUAAUGACGUGGCCUAAUUAAACCGCCAAACUCUAUCCACCCUAUUAAUAGCCCCUUUUUUCCGCCAAUACCAAGUCCUUCUAAGCAACUAACUGCACGCACAACCGUCCGAUCAUCCUAUUAACCAUGCAAUCUCAACCGUCCAUUACUUUUCUUGAUCCACUAUAUAUAUCUGAUACUUUUACCUGUUUCUGUUUUCUAAUUCCUUUUCUCUCUCCUCUUAACCACGUCUUCUUCUCCUCGAUCAGAUUUCUCCAAACAAUUUUUCGUUCUUCAACUUAAUCAAUUAAUCAUUCUUCAAAUUCAUUGAUUAAUCGUUCUUCGAAUUCAUUGACUAAUUGUUCAAUGAUUUAUUUGAUUUGCGUCGAUUUGCGAUUAUUUCUUCAAUUUUUGCAGAUUUGAUUGAUUACGGAGGACUUUUGCAACGCUCUGAUGUGUGGACUAGUGGUUUGGUCUUGAUUGAUUGUCGGAUGUUCUGCACGGUUCAGUAGGCUGAUGGGGCGCUAUAAGAAGAUGGCUGCGCUGCGGUUUUGCUCUCCCAAUUUUAUGGUGUGUUCAUAUAAUAUGUAUAUUGGUGAGUUUUGUGAUAUGUGGAUGAGAAAAGUGGUAGUAUUAGUUCGUAUGGUCGGUGUGUUGGGGAGAACGGAGUGUUUUCCUUGUUUUGGUGAAUUGGUCUUGUUAGUCGACCUUUGCCAUGUCGGGUGCGCUUGCUUGGCAGGUCAUCAAUGUUAAUAAAAGAUCUUUUUGUGGUUUUGUUGGGAGAUGGCACGGGGUUUUUCCCGGCUCUCCCAACCGUGUGUGCGUGUGUUGUGUCUGUUUUUCUUUAUUUUUCUCCCUUUCCCUGCACCCCAAUUGCGCUUGAAUCAUCAAACUCCACCACUAUUGCCACCAACAUCGAGCAAAUCCACUGUCAAAUGAUUUCGAUGGACAACAUAUUUGGCCAAGAUCCAAUUUUGCCAAGGUAUAUUUAUCAAAUUCUAUUUAUAUCAAAAUCCUUUCUAAUUUCCCUUUUAGGUACUCAGUACUAUUUAAAUUGCAAUGUUAUCUGCAAAGGUUAAGGUGGUGUCAUUAUUCUUCAAUUGUCCCUUGACAUCAAUGCGUCUUACAAUUGUUGUCUUCGAAAUUGUUUGCAUGCACAGAGCCCUGCUUUUCGAAUCUUUCUAAAUCAGGACUCCUACAAUUGUCUUGUACGGAUUAUAUAUUAAGAAAUUCUGCUUAUUUAGAACUUAAUUUAUAGUGAGAAUGUCGAGCAUGUAGAACAUCUCUUCAUUGACUUACCCAUGCAAAUUUUUCUCCAUGAACUUUAGCUUAACUUCCAUGAUCAUCAAGUGGAAAGCUACAUUCAUAUCCCAGUUUUAUUGCAUAUAUAUUUAUCAAAGAAUAGGUAACCAUGUUCUUGAAUAAGCUACUCUGAUUAAGCAACUUCCACGCAAUUUGUUGAGGGUAUUGCAAAUUAGUUAGGAAUACUACUUGCCAGCUGCACAAAUAGGUCAUAUAUGCCUCUGGAUUGUACGCUGUACCGAUCCUCCUUUAUGUGUAUUGCAUCAAACAUCAUAUAUGUGUACGCUGCACCAAUCCUCAUAUUUGUGUACGUAGUUACCCCAUACAGAUUAUAACUUAUGAAAUCAUAUCGUUUGGGGUUAUUUGGUAAUCUCUCAACCAUGUAAAUAUUUAGUUUCACAGCUUCAUGCCACUGUAAUCCUUGAGGUAGAUUCUAAGUUUAUUUCUUAUGCAUUCUGUUCAGGCAACUUGAUGCUCAAUUUAAUUUAAACCUUUUAUUUCCAAUGAGCAAUUUUUGAUUUUUUUUUUUAAUCCUGAUCUUUCUUGGUUGUGAUUUGCAUUUUACAUUACUGUCAACUGAGAACAAUAGUGUUGAGUCUUUCAAGUGUUUGUAGUUAGUGGUGUAAUAGAAUUUGUAUCAUUCUCUUUGUACACUUUUGUAUUAGAAGUUCUUCUACAGGUUUUGUACAUUCUAGGUGCCAGACUGUUGAUACUCUAAUGCUAUGUGGCCAAGUUGCUGUUCUGAUUCCGAAGAUCUCAUCUGCACAAGUUCAUAACUGUAGCCGUUUGUUAGUUUUGCAUGGGUGGUUCGCCUAGCAAUGAGGCACUAUCAAAUAUGCUCGUUAGAAAGCUUUGGUAGUUGUGAUGACAGCACUUAUUCUGAAUAUGUUCUCAAUGCCAAAGCAAUCAAGAAUAGUUGGAAGUAUUUUUCGUUGAUGGUUGAUGUGUUUUGCUAAUGUCACAACGUCAAUGAUUCAAUGCUAUCAAUAAUAUUCAUUGAUUGAUUGUUUAUUAAGACUAUUUCUCAAAGAUAUGUUUUCCCUGCUUUUUCUUA